Molecule: transfer RNA, 66 nt
Filed under: Gryllus veletis
Lineage: Eukaryota; Metazoa; Arthropoda; Insecta; Orthoptera; Gryllidae
Description: tRNA-Asn
Source: RNAcentral
UUAAUUGAAACCAAAAAGAGGUGUAUUAUUGUUAAUAAUAUCAUUGAAUUAUAAAUUCCAAUUAAG